UCGGAAUUACUGAGCGUAAAGCGUACGUAGGUGGUUUUUUAAGUCCGUUGUGAAAGCCCUGGGCUCAACCUGGGAAUGGCAGUGGAUACUGGAAAGCUAGAGUGCGGUAGAGGGUAGUGGAAUUCCCGGUGUAGCAGUGAAAUGCGUAGAGAUCGGGAGGAGCACCAGUGGCGAAGGCGGCUACCUGGACCAGCACUGACACUGAGGCACGAAAGCGUGGGGAGCAAACAGG
RNAcentral lists this ribosomal RNA (232 nucleotides) under uncultured bacterium. RNAcentral's name for it is "partial 16S ribosomal RNA". It matches the Rfam family "Bacterial small subunit ribosomal RNA", at positions 545 to 776 of the family's 1533-position model. The record is from RNAcentral.